RNAcentral lists this ribosomal RNA (447 nucleotides) under Salmonella enterica subsp. enterica serovar Richmond. RNAcentral describes it as "partial 23S ribosomal RNA". It matches the Rfam family "Bacterial large subunit ribosomal RNA", at positions 200 to 688 of the family's 2925-position model. The record is from RNAcentral. Lineage: Bacteria; Pseudomonadati; Pseudomonadota; Gammaproteobacteria; Enterobacterales; Enterobacteriaceae.
AUCUAAGUACCCCGAGGAAAAGAAAUCAACCGAGAUUCCCCCAGUAGCGGCGAGCGAACGGGGAGGAGCCCAGAGCCUGAAUCAGCAUGUGUGUUAGUGGAAGCGUCUGGAAAGGCGCGCGAUACAGGGUGACAGCCCCGUACACAAAAGCGCAUGUGCUGUGAGCUCGAUGAGUAGGGCGGGACACGUGGUAUCCUGUCUGAAUAUGGGGGGACCAUCCUCCAAGGCUAAAUACUCCUGACUGACCGAUAGUGAACCAGUACCGUGAGGGAAAGGCGAAAAGAACCCCGGCGAGGGGAGUGAAAAAGAACCUGAAACCGUGUACGUACAAGCAGUGGGAGCACCCUUUUGGGUGUGACUGCGUACCUUUUGUAUAAUGGGUCAGCGACUUAUAUUCUGUAGCAAGGUUAACCGAAUAGGGGAGCCGGAGGGAAACCGAGUCUUAAU